Molecule: small nuclear RNA, 108 nt
Organism: Cebus imitator (Panamanian white-faced capuchin)
Lineage: Eukaryota; Metazoa; Chordata; Mammalia; Primates; Cebidae
Source: Ensembl
GUGCUCACUUUGGUAGCACAUAUACUAAACUUGAAACAAUACACAGAAGAUUAACCAUGGCCCCUGCACAAGGAUGACACACAAAUCCGUGAAGCACAUUCCAUAUUU